RNAcentral lists this ribosomal RNA (500 nucleotides) under uncultured bacterium. Its description in RNAcentral is "partial 16S ribosomal RNA". It matches the Rfam family "Bacterial small subunit ribosomal RNA", at positions 30 to 523 of the family's 1533-position model. The record is from RNAcentral.
AUUGAACGCUGGCGGCAUGCUUUACACAUGCAAGUCGAACGGUAACAGGGUGCUUGCACCGCUGACGAGUGGCGAACGGGUGAGUAAUGCGUCGGAACGUGCCGAGUAGUGGGGGAUAACGCAGCGAAAGUUGUGCUAAUACCGCAUACGUACUGAGGUAGAAAGUGGGGGACCUUCGGGCCUCACGCUAUUCGAGCGGCCGACGUCUGAUUAGCUAGUAGGUGAGGUAAAGGCUCACCUAGGCGACGAUCAGUAGCGGGUCUGAGAGGAUGAUCCGCCCCACUGGGACUGAGACACGGGCCAGACUCCUACGGGAGGCAGCAGUGGGGAAUUUUGGACAAUGGGCGAAAGCCUGAUCCAGCCAUGCCGCGUGUCUGAAGAAGGCCUUCGGGUUGUAAAGGACUUUUGUCAGGGAGGAAAUCCCUAGUGCUAAUAACACUGGGGGAUGACAGUACCUGAAGAAUAAGCACCGGCUAACUACGUGCCAGCCGCCGCCGUAA